Triticum aestivum (bread wheat) is the source of this 1661-nucleotide long non-coding RNA. RefSeq lists it as uncharacterized. The record is from RefSeq and is a predicted model, not a curated record. The transcript has 4 exons. Lineage: Eukaryota; Viridiplantae; Streptophyta; Magnoliopsida; Poales; Poaceae.
CCUCGUGCGUGAACCCACCAAAGUAAAAAACACCAAGCUUUUCCGUAGUCAUCUUUUCCCCAAAUUUUCCCCACGCCGACGGUCGGAACCAAGGAGAGGCUCGCCGGCCUCCCCCGCCAGCGCCAUUAAGGCUCGGAAGCAAUCGCCCCCUCAGCCGAUUUACUGGUCCAGGUCACCUCCGCCGCUGUCACGGCUGGCAGGGCUCCCGGCCAGUCUCCGUCAUGACCACCGCCACCUCCGACGCUCCCCGGCCACAGAUUGCAGGUUGGGUCGAAAGGUGCGCGAUGAUUCGCUUCAUAGGACUACUGCUGCUUGGAUUGAUUUCGUUGUUACACAGGAAAACUUAUGCAUGUGGAUAUCUUCAUUCUACCAUAUCUUGGGUUGACAGGAAACAAGCUGUCACCCAUGAUUUUUAGCUUUGAUGUGCCCUGACGUUCUAUUUUUACCAUUGCAUGCUGGUUGGUAAAAAAAAUUUGCUCAAGCAAUUUCGAAGUGAUGUGUUACUUGGUGCAGUCUAAUCUGAACAUUAUUCUUAUUUUCCUUUGUUACUGAAGGUUAUUCCGUACACAGACACACACACACACGCAACUGUGAAGGUAUAUGUGUUUUUUGUUUUUGGACAAGUCAUAUACAUGUUUGACUGAUAAUCAUGAUGCCUUGCUUCCUUUCUUUGCUGAAAUUUUACAACAAUGCCUCUACUAACCUCAUUUCAAUUGAUGAGUACCAUCUGUUUGUUUUUGUGUGUGUUAAAUGGCAUAGGAAUUUCUCCCCUGGAGCUUUCCAGUUUAGAGAACUGAAUUUGACACUCCAAAUCAUAAGACAACAUUCAACAUUACUAAGCAAGGGAACUUCAGAAAAUAUUUUCCUGUCCCUAGUAGAAACAGAACUGAAGAUUACACCCUUCAGGUUAGAUAUGGACACUCCAAAUCAGUAGACACCUUUUUUUCUUUUUGGUAUUGCUUCCAAAAUCAUGAUUACAUUCAUAUCACAAAACAGUCAAAAUGCUAAGCUAAAUUGUACUACAACAACAACCUAUCUACAACUAUAGCCAGCAGCUACAACAGCUGAGCGCACAUCACAUGGACCUAGCCAAGUACGCUUACAGUGCAAGACAGUCUCGACGACAUUGACAGAGCAAAAAAUUGUUGUAUUUUUCCCAUCAAUUGUUUUGUUCUAUGGUUGUUCUGAUGCUGAACAUAAAAUAAAUGUAUGCUUGCUGCUCAUUAUCAGGCUAUGAGGCAGACAAAGCAACUACAAAAGAAUGUAUCCUAGCUACCUUCACCAAUAUGUGAAUGCUUGCUGUUAAUUUCAUUGGAAUGCAGGAAUGGCUGACCGAGAGCAGUGUGCACAUCUCUGAGGCCAAACGAGGCGUUGGAGUCGAGGAUUUGACACAAUUUGGAUCGAAUUACUGUUAUCUAUCCAACCGAUCUUUCUCUCCUCGGGUCUUGGUAGUUUGUCCCUGAGAUUGGUGUUCUAUGCCUAAGAAAGUGGAAUGGAGGGAGUAAUGCCUUGAGGUCUUAUUUAUUAUAAUUAUAGUCAAUGUAGUUCCAUUUUCAUAUUGUAGAGAUGAUAUUCGUUGUGUUACCUUUGGCCUGUAGGGUAUGUCAACCGGCUUUACCUAUGGAACACUUAGUUUAUUCCCAGUACUUUAUCAGCAAUCA